RNAcentral lists this long non-coding RNA (221 nucleotides) under Elaeis guineensis (African oil palm). RNAcentral describes it as "long non-coding RNA (EGUI_LNC059288)". The record is from RNAcentral. Lineage: Eukaryota; Viridiplantae; Streptophyta; Magnoliopsida; Arecales; Arecaceae.
UCCCUGUUAACCAAAUCACAACCGUUCAAUAGGUCGGUCCCUUAUCUUUCUCCCUGAUCCGAUUGCUGACACUUCAGGUCCAUCGGAUCUCAAUAACGGUUCAGAUUGUUUUGAUAUCCAGUGGGUUUCUUGGUCUUUAGGCAAUUUUACCGAAGGAUGUUGGGCCCAUCCCGGGCUAAGGUUGUUAUUCGAAGGGACUGCAGGGGAGGGAGAAGGGAAGA